CGCAUCUGUGCAUGCAGCAUAUCAAUAAGCGGAGGAAAAGAAACUAACAAGGAUUCCCUUAGUAACGGCGAGUGAAGCGGGAAGAGCUCAAAUUUGAAAUCUUCAAGGUUUUACCUUGACGAAUUGUAGUUUAAAGAAGUGUUUUCUGUUGAAGUUUUGGUAAAAGUUCUUUGGAAUAGGACAUCAUAGAGGGUGAGAAUCCCGUAUUUGACCAUUAUUUUCAGCUGUGUGAUACACUUUCAAAGAGUCGGAUUGUUUGGGAAUGCAGUCCAAAAUGGGUGGUAAAUUUCAUCUAAAGCUAAAUAUUGGCGAGAGACCGAUAGCGAACAAGUACCGUGAGGGAAAGAUGAAAAGAACUUUGAAAGAGAGUUAAACAGUACGUGAAAUUGUCAAAAGGGAAGCGUUUGACACCAGUGUUGUUUUCUCGGAAAUCAAUUAAAAAGAGUUUAGAUUUUGUUGUGUAUUGACCUUAACAGCUUGCAUUUCAAUUUUCUUGCUUUUUUUAAUGCACUUUUCGUUUAACAAGUCAACAUCAGUUUCUUUUGUUGUAAAAAGGUCAUUGGAAGGUGGCUUUCUUUUCGGAGAAAGUGUUUAUAGCCUUUGACUCCUGCAAUCGGAGAGACUGAGGUCUGCAGCGUAGAUCCUUCGGGGUUAGAUACAUUUGUGCUAAGUUAUAGCUUUUUAUAGACAACUUGUUGACUAUGAUUAGUCUUGUAGCUUACUCGCUUAUGCUAUUUUACCUACGCUUAGGAUGUUGAUGUGAUACUGCGAGC
Molecule: ribosomal RNA, 773 nt
Filed under: uncultured Neocallimastigales
Lineage: Eukaryota; Fungi; Neocallimastigomycota; Neocallimastigomycetes; Neocallimastigales
Description: partial large subunit ribosomal RNA
Rfam family: Eukaryotic large subunit ribosomal RNA
Source: RNAcentral